Molecule: ribosomal RNA, 468 nt
Filed under: uncultured bacterium
Lineage: Bacteria
Description: partial 16S ribosomal RNA
Rfam family: Bacterial small subunit ribosomal RNA
Source: RNAcentral
GACGAACGCUGGCGGCGUGCUUAACACAUGCAAGUCGAACGGAAAGGCCCUGCUUUUGUGGGGUGCUCGAGUGGCGAACGGGUGAGUAACACGUGAGUAACCUGCCCUUGACUUUGGGAUAACUUCAGGAAACUGGGGCUAAUACCGGAUAGGAGCUCCUGCUGCAUGGUGGGGGUUGGAAAGUUUCGGCGGUUGGGGCUGGUCUCGCGGCUUAUCAGCUUGUUGGGGGGGUAGUGGCUUACCAAGGCUUUGACGGGUAGCCGGCCUGAGAGGGUGGCCGGCCACAUUGGGACUGAGAUACGGCCCAGACUCGUACGGGAGGCAGCAGUGGGGAAUAUUGCACAGUGGGCGGAAGCCUGAUGCAGCAACGCCGCGUGCGGGAUGACGGCCUUCGGGUUGUAAACCGCUUUCGCCUGUGACGAAGCGUGAGUGACGGUAAUGGGUAAAGAAGCACCGGCUAACUACGUG